Molecule: unclassified non-coding RNA, 395 nt
Filed under: soil metagenome
Description: partial contains 5.8S ribosomal RNA, internal transcribed spacer 2, and large subunit ribosomal RNA
Rfam family: 5.8S ribosomal RNA (bases 1-122)
Source: RNAcentral
GAUGAAGAACGUAGCGAAAUGCGAUACUUGGUGUGAAUUGCAGAAUCCCGUGAACCAUCGAGUCUUUGAACGCAAGUUGCGCCCGAAGCCAUCAGGUUGAGGGCACGUCUGCCUGGGCGUCACAUAUCGUUGCCCAAUGCCUAUUGCAGUGCAAUAGGAAUUUCUAGGGCGAAUGAUGGCUUCCCGUGAGCGGUGUUGCCUCGCGGUUGGUUGAAAAUCGAGUCCUUGGUAGGGUGUGCCAUGGUAGAUGGUGGUCGAGUUAGAACGAUACCGAUCAUGUGCAUGCUCCCCAAAAUAUGGCCUCUAUGACCCACACGCGUCUUUUGACGCUCAUGACGAGACCUCAGGUCAGGCGGGGCUACCCGCUGAAUUUAAGCAUAUCAAUAAGCGGAGGA